Molecule: ribosomal RNA, 496 nt
Filed under: uncultured bacterium
Lineage: Bacteria
Description: partial 16S ribosomal RNA
Rfam family: Bacterial small subunit ribosomal RNA
Source: RNAcentral
AUGCACGCUGGCGGCGUGCCUAAUACAUGCAAGUCGAGCGAACAGACGAGGAGCUUGCUCCUCUGACGUUAGCGGCAGACGGGUGAGUAACACGUGGAUAACCUACCUAUAAGACUGGGAUAACUUCGGGAAACCGGAGCUAAUACCGGAUAAUAUAUUGAACCGCAUGGUUCAAUAGUGAAAGACGGUUUUGCUGUCACUUAUAGAUGGAUCCGCGCCGCAUUAGCUAGUUGGUAAGGUAACGGCUUACCAAGGCAACGAUGCGUAGCCGACCUGAGAGGGUGAUCGGCCACACUGGAACUGAGACACGGUCCAGACUCCUACGGGAGGCAGCAGUAGGGAAUCUUCCGCAAUGGGCGAAAGCUUGACGGAGCAACGCCGCGUGAGUGAUGAAGGUCUUCGGAUCGUAAAACUCUGUUAUUAGGGAAGAACAAAUGUGUAAGUAACUAUGCACGUCUUGACGGUACCUAAUCAGAAAGCCACGGCUAACUACGUG